UACGAAGGGGGCGAGCGUUGUUCGGAAUCACUGGGCGUAAAGGGCGCGUAGGCGGAUUGGCAAGUCGGGGGUGAAAUCCUAGAGCUUAACUCUAGAAGUGCCCUCGAUACUGUUAGUCUAGAGAUUAGGAGAGGCAAGUGGAAUUCCGAGUGUAGAGGUGAAAUUCGUAGAUAUUCGGAGGAACACCAGUGGCGAAGGCGACUUGCUGGCCUGGUUCUGACGCUGAGGCGCGAAAGCGUGGGGAGCAAACAGG
This 253-nucleotide ribosomal RNA is filed under the name uncultured bacterium. RNAcentral's name for it is "partial 16S ribosomal RNA". It matches the Rfam family "Bacterial small subunit ribosomal RNA", at positions 524 to 776 of the family's 1533-position model. The record is from RNAcentral.